GGGAGGCAGCAGUAGGGAAUUUUCGGCAAUGGAGGAAACUCUGACCGAGCAACGCCGCGUGAAUGAAGACAUAUUUCAGUAUGUAAAGUUCUUUUAUUAGGGAAGAAUAGCCCAUGGAAAAAUGGGUGUGACGGUACCUAAUGAAUAAGCCCCGGCUAACUAUGUGCCAGCAGCCGCGGUAAUACAUAGGGGGCAAGCGUUAUCCGGAAUUAUUGGGCGUAAAGGGUGCGUAGGCGGCCAUUUAAGUCUUUGGUAUAAGUGCAGUGCUUAACGCCGUGAUGCUAAGGAAACUGAAUGGCUUGAGUGAGAUAGAGGCAAGUGGAAUUCCAUGUGUAGCGGUAAAAUGCGUAAAUAUAUGGAGGAACACCAGUGGCGAAGGCGGCUUGCUGGGUCUACACUGACGCUGAGGCACGAAAGCGUGGGGAGCAAACAGGAUUAGAUACCCUGGUAGUACACGCCGUAAACGAUGAGUACUGAGUGUUGGAGAAAUUCAGUGCUGUAGUUAACGCAAUAAGUACUCCGCCUGAGUAGUACGUACGCAAGUAUGAAACUCAAAGGAAUUGACGG
Molecule: ribosomal RNA, 567 nt
Filed under: uncultured bacterium
Lineage: Bacteria
Description: bacterial SSU rRNA
Rfam family: Bacterial small subunit ribosomal RNA
Source: RNAcentral